This 464-nucleotide ribosomal RNA is filed under the name uncultured bacterium. RNAcentral's name for it is "partial 16S ribosomal RNA". It matches the Rfam family "Bacterial small subunit ribosomal RNA", at positions 28 to 507 of the family's 1533-position model. The record is from RNAcentral.
GACGAACGCUGGCGGCGUGCCUAACACAUGCAAGUCGAACGGAAAGGCGCCUUCGGGGGUACACGGGUGUCGAACGGGGGCGGAACACGUGAGCAACCUGCCCUUGACUUUGGGAUACCAGCUGGAAACAGCUGCCAAUACUAGAUAUGACUUCUUCUUUCAUGGGUUGAGGUGGAAAGCUCCGGCCGUCAGGGAUGUGCUGGCGGCCUAUCAGCUUGUUGGUGAGGGAAUGGCUCACCAAGGCGUCGACGGGUAGCCGGCAUGAGAGGGCGACCAGCCACACUGGGACUGAGGUACGGACCAGAAUCGUACGGGAGGCAGCAGUGGGGAGUAUUGCACAGUGGGCGCACGCCUGAUGCAGCAACGCCGCGUGCGGGAUGACGGCCUUCGAGUUAUAAACAGCUUUCAGUAGGGACGAAGCUAACGUGACGGUACCUACAGAAGAAGGACCGGCUAACUACGUG